AUCGCUCAAAGAUGGGUCUGCGUCUGAUUAGCUAGUUGGUGGGGCAACGGCCUACCAAGGCGACGAUCAGUAGCCGGUCUGAGAGGAUGAACGGCCACAUUGGAACUGAGACACGGUCCAGACUCCUACGGGAGGCAGCAGUGGGGAAUCUUCCGCAAUGGGCGAAAGCCUGACGGAGCAACGCCGCGUGAGUGAAGAAGGCCUUCGGGUCGUAAAGCUCUGUUGUCGGGGACGAAUGUGCGGAUUAUCAACAACGAUCUGCAAUGACGGUACCUGACGAGGAAGCCACGGCUAACUACGUG
Molecule: ribosomal RNA, 302 nt
Filed under: uncultured bacterium
Lineage: Bacteria
Description: bacterial SSU rRNA
Rfam family: Bacterial small subunit ribosomal RNA
Source: RNAcentral